AGCUAGAAACAAAACUAGGUUGGCUAGUUGGCCAGGAGCUAGAAACAGAACUCUGUUGGCUAGGAGCUAGAAACAGAACUAGGUUGGCCAGGAGCUAGAAACAGAACUAGGUUGGCUAGUUGUCCAUGAGCUAAAAACAGAACUAGGUUGGCUAGUUGGCCAGGAGCUAGAAACAGAACUAGGUUGGCCAGGAGCUAGAAACAGAACUAGGAUGGCCAGGAGCUAGAAACAGAACUAGGUUGGCCAGUAGCUAGAAACAGACCUAGGUUGGCUAGGGGCUAGAAACCGAACUAGGUUGGCUAGGGGCUAGAAACAGAACUAGGUUGGCUAGUUGGUCAGGAGCUAGAAACAGAACUAGGUUGGCUAGGAGCUAGAAAAAGAGCUAUGUUGGCCAGGAUCUAGAAACAACUCUGUUAGCCAGGGGCAAGAACCAUAACUAUGUUGGCCAGGAGCUAGAAACAGAACUAGGUUGGCUAGUUGGCAAGGAGAUAGAAACAGAACUCUGUUGGCUAGGAGCUAGAAACAGAACAAGGUUGGCCAGGAGCUAGAAACAGAACUAGGUUGGCUACUUGUCCAGGAGCUAAAAACAGAACUAGGUUGGCUAGUUGGCCAGGAGAUAGAAACAGAACUAGGUUGGCUAGGAGCUAGAAACAGAACUAGGUUGGCCAGGAACUAGAAACAGAACUAGGUUGGCCAGGAGCAAGAAACAGAACUAGGAUGGCUAGGAGC
RNAcentral lists this long non-coding RNA (729 nucleotides) under Salmo salar (Atlantic salmon). RNAcentral describes it as "lncRNA (ENSSSAG00000106868.1)". Lineage: Eukaryota; Metazoa; Chordata; Actinopteri; Salmoniformes; Salmonidae. The record is from RNAcentral.